RNAcentral lists this ribosomal RNA (421 nucleotides) under uncultured bacterium. RNAcentral's name for it is "bacterial SSU rRNA". It matches the Rfam family "Bacterial small subunit ribosomal RNA", at positions 360 to 773 of the family's 1533-position model. The record is from RNAcentral.
AUUGUUCGCAAUGGGCGCAAGCCUGAUCCAGCGACGCCGCGUGAGUGAUGAAGGCCUUCGGGUUGUAAAGCUCUGUUGAGGGGAAAGAAAACGGUCAGCGUGAAUAAUUCUGGCCCUUGACGGUACCCCUUUAGAAAGCACCGGCUAACUCUGUGCCAGCAGCCGCGGUAAAACGUAGGGGACAAGCGUUAUCCGGAUUUACUGGGCGUAAAGCGCCCGUAGGCGGCUUGAAAAGUUGGACGUGAAAGCUCCCGGCUUAACUGGGAGAGGCCGUUCAAAACUGUCAGGCUAGAGUGAGGAAGAGGAGAGCAGAAUUCCCGGUGUAGUGGUGGAAUGCGUAGAGAUCGGGAGGAAUACCAGUGGCGAAAGCGGCUCUCUGGUCCUAAACUGACGCUGAGGGGCGAAAGCGUGGGGAGCGAAC